CCAUCCAUCACCAGUUAAUAUUUACUAAUUGCCUAUAUGUGCCAGCCACCAGAUGAGGCACAGGUGUCAUGAUGCUAGCGUUCUACAUCCUUUUUCUAGGCAGUUUAUGGCCCAGUGAGUAGCUGACGUGAUGGUAUGUGAUAAGCACUGUAAUGAUGGGGUUAUAAAAUAUCAAGGAGCAUAAAGAAGAAAAGGGGACCCUCCUUUUCUUGUGAGGUCAGCAAAGCCUUCCUAAAAGGAUAGGAUCUGGAAUGAUGGAGACCAAGAGUUUCCUGGAAGAGAGCUUGGAGGAGUGAUAUUCCAGGGUGAGGGGAAGGUAAUGUGAAGACAUGGAGGUGGGAAACCUCCAGGAGGUUUUUAAGAUCUGCAAGUGGUUACUCUGAUGUGAGGGGAGUUGGGGGAGGAGAGGUUCUUUGGAUGUGAUGGUGGGAAGAGAGGUGGUGUGAGAUGGAGUCAGAGAGGUAAAUGUGGGAGAUUCGGAGAUAGGCCACCCAGGCUGCUUUUUAAAGAAGGACUUCAGCUGCGGGAAUGCAGUUUGCAGCCAGCCUCCAACUGUCAGCACUUAAGUGUCAGCCUCAGCUGCAGAGAGUGGUUUUGUCUGAGGUUUUAUUUCCAAGGCAGCCUGCAGGGUUUAAGGGCCCAGUCAGUUUGGCCCUGACACACUGAUAGGCAGCACUCCUCCAGACCCGCUGGUAAGCAGGCUGGCUGAACGUCUGUCGAGGAGGGUAUUGCAACUUCACCUAUUUUGCUAAAUACUUCCGCCUGCCUCUUUUUUCACUGGCAUUGCUCUCCAGUAAAUAUACAUGCUUGUGACCCCAUGGACUGUAGCCCGCCAGACUCCUCUGUCUUUGGGAUUUCCCAGGCAGGAACAUCGGAGUGGGUUGCCAUUUCCUCCUCCAGGAGAUCUUCCCAACCAACCCAGUAAAUAUCUUGAGCCCCCAAUUCCAUCUCAAGCCUGCUUCAUGGAGAAUCCAGUCUUAGAGAUCAGCUUGGAUUGAACCACAGGAGGCUUUGUAUAUGAAGCUAAGGUUGGUCCUGUGCUUAGGAAUUUCAAAAGCGGAACCAAUGCAGGAACUGUCCUCUGAUAAACUCUCAUAUCUCUCAAGUCUGAAACAAACAUCGGAGGAAAACAAAAUAGAGAAAACAAGCAGCUCUAUGGUGUUCAUUCAAUGGGCAUUUACUGAAUGCCUACUCUGUCACAUACGAUCUGAGGCACUGGAGACACAAAGAAGAAAACAUGACCCAGGGCCCACCUGGAAGGCUCCUUGGAGACAGCCUCUGAGAAGGCCCAGGUGGCUUACAAGGGACACAUGAGCCAAACAAGGAAAGUGAACGUGAAGAUCCAAAACUCAGGAUUAUAGAGUGGGCUUUGUUGGUUUCCUAGGGCUGCCAUAACAAAAUACCAGACACUGAGUGGCUUUCAACAACAGAAAGCUACUCUAACAAUUCUGGAGGCUAGAAGUCUAAAACCAAAGUGUCAACUGGGCCUGCUCCCUCUGAAGGCUCUAGGAAAACAUCAGUCCUUGUUCUCUCCAAGCUUCUGGUGUUAUUGGCUCUGCCUUAUCAUCACAUGGUGUUCUCUCUGUGUAUCCAUCUGUGUUUCUGUUCUCUUUUCUUUUGAGGUUACCAGUCAUACUGAGAAUAUGACCUCAUCUUAACAUGCUUACAUCUGCAAAGACCCUAUUUCCAAAUAAGAUCAUAUUCUGAGGUUCUGAGGGUUAGACUUCAACAUUUCUUUUUGGUGGACACAAUUUAACUCAUAAUAGGCUUCAUCAAGAAUGUCACUGGCCUGCUGCUGCUGCUGCUGCUGCUAAGUUGCUUCAGUCGUGUCCGACUCUGUGCGACCCCAGAGACGGCAGCCCACCAGGCUCCCCCGUCCCUGGGGUUCUCCAGGCAUACUACCCGCUUGUUGUUAUACACGGUCAUCUGACUUUCUCUGGCUAAUUCAAGCAGAAAUGGCACGCGUCUGCAUGAGCUGUAGUACUGAAGAGUUAGCACUCCAUUCUCCUGGCUCUCUCCCCUGUCAUGGCUGGCCUUAAAGAUUUCGGUUGAGGUGACAGCAUCAUCUUCCAUCAGCUUGGCUUCCUGAAUGACAGCAAUCAGCAAACAUUCCUAUUUAUCUGCAUUAAAACUGUAGUGUAAGCAAGAAAAAACUCUUUGUUCCUUCAAGACAUUGAGAUUUUGGUGUUCUUCGCUCCUACAUAUAACCUUCCCUAUAUUGACAGAUACAUAGUAUUGACCUAAGAGACUGUUGGGAGGUUUAAAUGAGAAGAAGCACAUAAAGCAUUCACCCUGGUGCCUGACACAUGGGAAGCCUCAAAAACAAUGUACUGUUUUUAUUCUGUCUAAAGGAGAAGAUAUAUCGUAGCAUUUACACAACAAAAAUUUUAUGAGAUUCAUUCUCAUUCUAUUGUACUGAAAAUAAAAUAAACUCUUGUAUUUAACAGUUGAUGUAGUUCAUCCACAUUGGUAACAUUUAUUUGAUGCUUACUAUGUGGAGAAGGCAAUGGCACCCCACUCCAGUACUCUUGCC
This is a long non-coding RNA of Bos taurus (domestic cattle), 2533 nucleotides long. The record is from Ensembl. Lineage: Eukaryota; Metazoa; Chordata; Mammalia; Artiodactyla; Bovidae.